AUUUAUCCGGGCGGGGUUGUGGGACCUUAAUGUGGGAGAUGAAAAACGAGCUUAAUGCAAUGGAAACUGCAGCCAAAGACCGUGAAAGCCGGGUGAGCGAAGUUGGAAGUCCCCUAGAGGCAUCCCAAGUAACGCGGUGCACGUGAAACUCUGCGUGAAUCUGUCCAGACCACUGGAUAAGGCUAAAUACUCGUUGGCAACCGAUAGUGGACAAGUACCGCGAGGGAACGGUGAAAAGAACCCCUGUUAGGGGAGUGAAAUAGAACCUGAAACCGAUUGCAUACAAUGUGUGGGAGCUGCCGCAAGGUGGUGACCGCUUGCCUUUUGCAUAAUGAGUCUGCGAGUUAUUGUCGGUGGCAAGCCUAAGUUCUAAUGGAACGGAGGCGAAGGGAAACCGAGUGCGAAUAGCGCGAAUUAAGUGGCCGGCAAUAGACCCGAAGCGGAGGUGAUCUACUUAUGAGCAGGUUGAAGCUGCAGUAACAUGCAGUGGAGGACCGAACUCGUGGAUGUUGAAAAAUCCUGAGAUGACUUGAGAGUAGGAGCGAAAGACUAAUCAAACCCCGUGAUAGCUGGUUCUCUCCGAAAUAGUUUGAGGGCUAGCGUUGGAACAAGUACUCCGAGGAGGUAGAGCACUGGAUGGCUUAGGGACCCCACCAGGUUGCCAAAACCAAUCAAACUCCGAAUUCCUCGGAUCCCAUUAUUCCAGCAGUCAGACGGCGAGGGAUAAGCUUCGUCGUCAAGAGGGCAACAGCCCAGACCAACGGCUAAGGCGCCUAAAUACAGUUAAGUGGAAAGGAUGUGACGUUGCACAGACAGUGAGGAUGUUGGCUUAGAGGCAGCCAUCAUUUAAACAGUGCGUAAUAGCUGACUCAUCGAGCGAUGUCGCGCCGAAAAUGAUUGGCGAUUAAACUGUAUGCCGAAGCUUUGGAUGCGUAGCAAUACGCGUGGUAGGAGAGCGUUCUCUAAGCAUUGAAGCCGAACUGAAAAGGAUGGUGGAGUUUAGAGAAGUGAGAAUGCAGACAUGAGUAGCGAUAAACCAGAUGAGAAUUCUGGUCGCCGUAAACCUAAGGUUUCCUGGGCCAGGUUCGUCCCCCCAGGGUUAGCCGGGAGCUAAGAUGAGGCCGUAAGGCGUAAUCGAUGCACAGCAGGUUAAAUAUUCCUGCGCCAGCUAGGUUAAGGUUGGAGAUGACGCAUGGGAAGACAUCAACUAGGCAAUCGAAUGCUGAGCUUAGGCUUCGGCCGAAGCGUAUUGGUGGGUUCCUGUGCCGAGAAAAGUUUCCAACUGUUCCCGACGCUGCCCGUACCGUAAACCGACACAGGUGGGUGAGUGUAAGCGCACUCAGGCGCGCGAGAGAGACCUCUCUAAGGAACUCGGCACAUUAGCCUCGUAACUUCGGGAGAAGAGGUGCCCUUCGCAAGAAGGGUCUCAGUAAAUUGCGUUUAGCGACUGUUUAACAAAAACACAGCACUCUGCAAAGUCGUGAAGACGACGUAUAGGGUGUGACACGUGACCAAUGCGGAAAGAUCAAACCAUGAGGUUAGCCGUAAGGCGAAGCUUCGUGGCCAAGUCCCCGUGAAUGUCGGCCGUAACUAUAACGGUCCUAAGGUAGCGAAAUUCCUUGUCGGGUAAGUUCCGACCUGCACGAAUCGUGUAACGACUGAACGACUGUCUCGGAGAGGAUCUCGGCGAAAUUGUAACUGCGGUGAAGAUGCCGCAUGCCCGCAGUAGGACGGAAAGACCCUAUGCACCUUUACUGUAAGCUCGUAUUGUGUUCUGAUUAAUUAUGCGUAGCGUAGGUGGGAGACUUUGAAGGGAGUGCUUCGGUGCUCUUGGAGUCGCAAUGUGAAACACCACUCUUAGCUAAUUAGGAUUCUAACCCCAUGCUGUAAGCCAGCUGGGGGACAGUGCGUGCAGGUCAGUUUGACUGGGGCGGUUUCCUCCCAAAUGGUAACGGAGGAGCGCUAAGCUUGGUUCAGCAUGGUUGGCAACUAUGCGUUGAGGGUAUGGCUAUAAACCAGGUUAACUGUGAGACCCACAAGUCGAGCAGGUACGAAAGUAGGCCCAAAUGAUCCGACGGUUUAAUGUGGAAUUGCCGUCG
RNAcentral lists this ribosomal RNA (2099 nucleotides) under Ambispora leptoticha. RNAcentral's name for it is "bacterial LSU rRNA". It matches the Rfam family "Bacterial large subunit ribosomal RNA", at positions 282 to 2447 of the family's 2925-position model. Lineage: Eukaryota; Fungi; Glomeromycota; Glomeromycetes; Archaeosporales; Ambisporaceae. The record is from RNAcentral.